RNAcentral lists this ribosomal RNA (490 nucleotides) under uncultured bacterium. RNAcentral describes it as "partial 16S ribosomal RNA". It matches the Rfam family "Bacterial small subunit ribosomal RNA", at positions 30 to 507 of the family's 1533-position model. The record is from RNAcentral.
AUUGAACGCUGGCGGCAGGCCUAACACAUGCAAGUCGAACGGUAACAGGAAGACUCUUGCUUCUUUGCUGACGAGUGGCGGACGGGUGAGUAAUGUCUGUGAAACUUCCUGAUGGAUGGGGAUAACUACUGGAAACGGUAGCUAAUACCGCAUAACGUCACAAGACCAGAGAUGGUGACCUUCGGGCCUCUUGCCUUCGGAUUUGCCCAGAUGGGAUUAGCUAGUAGGUGGGGUAAAGGCUCACCUAGGCGACGAUCCCUAGCUGGUCUGAGAGGAUGACCAGCCACACUGGAACUGAGACACGGUCCAGACUCCUACGGGAGGCAGCAGUGGGGAAUAUUGCACAAUGGGCGAAAGCCUGAUGCAGCCAUGCCGCGUGUAUGAAGAAGGCCUUCGGGUUGUAAAGUACUUUAAGCGGGGAGGAAGGGAGUAAAGUUAAUACCUUGGCUUAUUGACGUUACCAGCAGAAGAAGCACCGGCUAACUUCGUG